CCUGCCCCCUGAAAACUUUAAAGGGCCGCGGUAUUUGAACCGUGCUAAGGUAGCAUAAUAAAUAGUCUUUUAAUUGAGGUCUAGUAUGAACGGUUGGACAUGAAGUACUCUGUUUUAAUUAUAAAAUUUGAAUUUUACUUUUAAGUGAAAAGGCUUAAAUUGUAUGGUGGGACGAUAAGACCCUAUAAAGCUUUACAUUUUAUCAGUAUAGCUGGGGAAUUUAUGGUUUUCUAUGCUUGACGGGUCAAGUGGUUUCGUUGGGGCGACGAAAAUAUAAAAUGGUAACUGUUUUUGGUUUAAAAAUAAAUUUUUUUAGGUGUUAAGAUCCUUUAUAGAGAUUAUAAGAAUAAAGUUACUUUAGGGAUAACAGCGUAAUUUUUCUUGAGAGUUCAUAUCGACAGAAUUAGUUGCGACCUCGAUGUUGAAUUAAGAUGCCCCUUAGGUGUAGCAGUUUUAGUGGUAGGUCUGUUCGACCUUUAAAAUCUUACAUGAUUUGAGUUCAGACCGGCGUG
RNAcentral lists this ribosomal RNA (512 nucleotides) under Caridina typus. RNAcentral describes it as "partial 16S ribosomal RNA". It matches the Rfam family "Bacterial large subunit ribosomal RNA", at positions 1858 to 2623 of the family's 2925-position model. Lineage: Eukaryota; Metazoa; Arthropoda; Malacostraca; Decapoda; Atyidae. The record is from RNAcentral.